AAUCAAGCGUUUAAGGGCGUAUGGCGGAUGCCUAGGCACUGAAAGGCGAUGAAGGACGUGGUAUACUGCGAUAAGUUUCGGGGAGCUG
This 88-nucleotide ribosomal RNA is filed under the name Phycisphaerales bacterium. RNAcentral's name for it is "partial 23S ribosomal RNA". It matches the Rfam family "Bacterial large subunit ribosomal RNA", at positions 1 to 88 of the family's 2925-position model. The record is from RNAcentral. Lineage: Bacteria; Pseudomonadati; Planctomycetota; Phycisphaerae; Phycisphaerales.